Molecule: ribosomal RNA, 490 nt
Filed under: uncultured bacterium
Lineage: Bacteria
Description: partial 16S ribosomal RNA
Rfam family: Bacterial small subunit ribosomal RNA
Source: RNAcentral
AUUGAACGCUGGCGGCAGGCCUAACACAUGCAAGUCGAACGGUAACAGGAAGAAGCUUGCUUCUUUGCUGACGAGUGGCGGACGGGUGAGUAAUGUCUGGGAAACUGCCUGAUGGAGGGGGAUAACUACUGGAAACGGUAGCUAAUACCGCAUAACGUCGCAAGACCAAAGAGGGGGACCUUCGGGCCUCUUGCCAUCGGAUGUGCCCAGAUGGGAUUAGCUAGUAGGUGGGGUAACGGCUCACCUAGGCGACGAUCCCUAGCUGGUCUGAGAGGAUGACCAGCCACACUGGAACGGAGACACGGUCCAGACGCCUACGGGAGGCAGCAGUGGGGAAUAUUGCACAAUGGGCGCAAGCCUGAUGCAGCCAUGCCGCGUGUAUGAAGAAGGCCUUCGGGUUGUAAAGUACUUUCAGCGGGGAGGAAGGGAGUAAAGUUAAUACCUUUGCUCAUUGACGUUACCCGCAGAAGAAGCACCGGCUAACUACGUG